Molecule: ribosomal RNA, 253 nt
Filed under: uncultured bacterium
Lineage: Bacteria
Description: partial 16S ribosomal RNA
Rfam family: Bacterial small subunit ribosomal RNA
Source: RNAcentral
UACGUAGGGUGCGAGCGUUGUCCGGAAUUAUUGGGCGUAAAGAGCCCGUAGGCGGUCUGUCGCGUCUGCUGUGAAAUCCCGAGGCUCAACCUCGGGCUUGCAGUGGGUACGGGCAGGCUAGAGUGCGGUAGGGGAGACUGGAAUUCCUGGUGUAGCGGUGAAAUGCGCAGAUAUCAGGAGGAACACCAAUGGCGAAGGCAGCUCGCUGGGACGUGACUGACGCUGAGACGCGAAGGCCAGGGGAGCAAACGGG